Daedaleopsis nitida is the source of this 90-nucleotide non-coding RNA. NCBI's taxonomy places the organism in Eukaryota, Fungi, Basidiomycota, Agaricomycetes, Polyporales, Polyporaceae. The record is from the annotation of a GenBank genome assembly.
GACACUAUAGCCAAGUGGUUAAGGCGACAGAUUAGAAUAUGCGUUAUCUGUUUCUCUUUGAGAGCGUAGGUUCGAACCCUACUGGUGUCG